Molecule: ribosomal RNA, 484 nt
Filed under: uncultured bacterium
Lineage: Bacteria
Description: bacterial SSU rRNA
Rfam family: Bacterial small subunit ribosomal RNA
Source: RNAcentral
GACGAACGCUGGCGGCGUGCUUAAUACAUGCAAGUCGAGCGAGGCCUUGGAAUUGGAGUCCUUCGGGAUGAAGAGUCCUUGGCCUAGCGGCGGACGGGUGAGUAACGCGUGGGCAACCUACCCCAAAGUCCGGGAUAACAGUGGGAAACCGCUGCUAAUACCGGAUGACUUUACCUGAGGGCAUCCUUGGGUAAAGAAGGUUACGCUUUGGGAUGGGCCCGCGUCCCAUUAGCUAGUUGGUGAGGUAACGGCUCACCAAGGCGACGAUGGGUAGCCGGCCUGAGAGGGUGAACGGCCACACUGGGACUGAGACACGGCCCAGACUCCUACGGGAGGCAGCAGUAGGGAAUAUUGCGCAAUGGGCGGAAGCCUGACGCAGCGACGCCGCGUGAGCGAAGAAAGGCCUUCGGGUCGUAAAGCUCUGUCCUUGGGAAGAAGGCGAAAGCUUGACGGUACCCAAGAAGAAAGCCCGGCUAACUACGUG